This 253-nucleotide ribosomal RNA is filed under the name uncultured bacterium. RNAcentral describes it as "partial 16S ribosomal RNA". It matches the Rfam family "Bacterial small subunit ribosomal RNA", at positions 524 to 776 of the family's 1533-position model. The record is from RNAcentral.
UACAGGGGGUGCAAACGUUGCUCGGAAUUAUUGGGCGUAAAGCGCGCGUAGGCGGCUACUUAAGUCGGAUGUGAAAGCCCUUGGCUCAACUGAGGAAGUGCACCCGAAACUGAGUGGCUUGAGUACCAAAGAGGGUCGCGGAAUUCCCGGUGUAGAGGUGAAAUUCGUAGAUAUCGGGAGGAACACCGGUGGCGAAGGCGGCGACCUGGGUGGAUACUGACGCUGAGGCGCGAAAGCGUGGGGAGCAACCAGG